This 222-nucleotide long non-coding RNA is filed under the name Elaeis guineensis (African oil palm). RNAcentral's name for it is "long non-coding RNA (EGUI_LNC048429)". The record is from RNAcentral. Lineage: Eukaryota; Viridiplantae; Streptophyta; Magnoliopsida; Arecales; Arecaceae.
AUGGGGACCAUACGUGGGAUCUAUGCACUUUUUUUUUUAAUUCCUCCCACACUCGGGCCCACCAAAAGACCCAAGGUCGCUGUCCCACGGGGACAGCAUAAGAACCUAAAGCCCAAGACUACAAUUGGUAGCCAGCAAUCCAUCCAUAUUGCCAUCAAUUUAAAAUCAAUCCAUCAAAUUACUAUAUUUAAUAUAUUUUUAGAUAAUAAUUUAGAUCAUCCC